AGCUAGGGGGUGGAAGAUAGGAGAGGAGAGGCAUAGACUUUGCUAUAACUGACUUUUGUUGUUCUUGCUUGCAUUCUUCUCCUUUUUAAAUCGGCCCCCUUUUCACAUUGUGUGUCGCCAUAAACGGCUUUUCUUGUUGCAGGGCUAGCGGAGAGAAGACAGCGGAGCUCCACACACACAGACAGCGGGGCUGCGCGGGGCUGCACGCCGACCAAAACACACCGGCUGCCGGGAUCGAAACCGCGCGGACUACCGUAUAGGGGGAGCCGGAAUAGACGGAAGGGGGGAGAUGCAGGACGGAUGGUGUCUGGAGCUCUGCUCCGGACAGACCGAGGCUCCCUCAUCGGAGGGUGAAGCCAGAGGAUACGAAGGGAGAUUGAAGCGAAAUGGCAUCUUGUUUAAUUUCUGCCAAUCAAGACGAGAGGAAGACAACUCCCAAACUGGCAUGCCUCCGGAUGGCCCCGGCAAGACAAAGUUUGUUGCCAGUUUCCUAAAAAGUGGGGGGAAGAUUAUUCCACCAAAAUACAUCCCCAGAGGCUGGCAGGGCCCGGUCAAGGUGUUCCCCAUCCAUCCGUCCAUCCAUCCAUCCAUCCAUCUCCCCUUCUGUUCCUCGCGUGCAGAGUCUGGCUGUCGCAGCUCGAGGAUAUUUAGCCUGCAACAGGUGUGACGUACCGAGAGGGUGAAGACACGAUCAAGAGACCCGGACAAUGCAUGAACCGGAUGGGAACUGGUACGUUUAGGGAACACACCCCAUUACACACACACACACGUUCAACACACACACACAUACACACACUGUGUCCCAUAGAGAGAGACAGCAAUGCCUUGGAGGGUGC
Long non-coding RNA from Parambassis ranga (Indian glassy fish), 836 nucleotides. The record is from Ensembl. Lineage: Eukaryota; Metazoa; Chordata; Actinopteri; Ambassidae.